UGAUCUGUCUCGUUUUGAGGCUCUUCAGCAGAUGUUCUCCUUUAGCACAAUAUAUGACUGUAAAUGAUUCGAGAUCAUCUUUGGGCACCCCCAGAUGUAGUUGGGAUUCCAGCGAGGUUCACCUGGAUUCCUGAUGAACCCAGGUUGUUUUACAGGCACCCCUUGGUGAAAUGGUCCUUGCAAAGGGAAUUUCAAAGCCUUUUGUGGAGCAAAAGACUUUUCUCUGCAGGUAUGGAGAUGCUCAGUACUAUGGAGACCGGGUCUGGACCUGUUUAGAGCAAAGCUGCAUGGAACGAAUUCAUCUGGGGAAGGAAACCUUGUCACCCUACACGCAUCCUCACAUACGGGCUUCCCAGUAUUAACAGGAAAAUGUCAUUUGGGUGUAUGUAGAUAAGAAAGUAAAACGUUAUUUUAUUCAGGAAGUGAAAUGGCCAGCAGAAAAAAA
This is a long non-coding RNA of Neopsephotus bourkii (Bourke's parrot), 445 nucleotides long. RefSeq lists it as uncharacterized. The record is from RefSeq and is a predicted model, not a curated record. NCBI's taxonomy places the organism in Eukaryota, Metazoa, Chordata, Aves, Psittaciformes, Psittacidae. The transcript is spliced from 3 exons.